AUUGAACGCUGGCGGCAGGCCUAACACAUGCAAGUCGAGCGGAUGAAGGGAGCUUGCUCCUGGAUUCAGCGGCGGACGGGUGAGUAAUGCCUAGGAAUCUGCCUGGUAGUGGGGGAUAACGUCCGGAAACGGGCGCUAAUACCGCAUACGUCCUGAGGGAGAAAGUGGGGGAUCUUCGGACCUCACGCUAUCAGAUGAGCCUAGGUCGGAUUAGCUAGUUGGUGGGGUAAAGGCCUACCAAGGAGACGAUCCGUAACUGGUCUGAGAGGAUGAUCAGUCACACUGGAACUGAGACACGGUCCAGACUCCUACGGGAGGCAGCAGUGGGGAAUAUUGGACAAUGGGCGAAAGCCUGAUCCAGCCAUGCCGCGUGUGUGAAGAAGGUCUUCGGAUUGUAAAGCACUUUAAGUUGGGAGGAAGGGCAGUAAGUUAAUACCUUGCUGUUUUGACGUUACCAACAGAAUAAGCACCGGCUAACUUCGUG
This 484-nucleotide ribosomal RNA is filed under the name uncultured bacterium. RNAcentral describes it as "partial 16S ribosomal RNA". It matches the Rfam family "Bacterial small subunit ribosomal RNA", at positions 30 to 507 of the family's 1533-position model. The record is from RNAcentral.